Non-coding RNA from Bufo gargarizans (Asiatic toad), 413 nucleotides. Lineage: Eukaryota; Metazoa; Chordata; Amphibia; Anura; Bufonidae. The record is from the annotation of a RefSeq genome assembly.
UAUACUCUACUUGUAGAAUGGGGAGAAAGUUCAGAGUUAUGUCUUACGUGAUGGAUAUUCUAUUCAUUGCAGUUUGGUUUUUAUCAGAUGAUGUGCUAGGAAACGCCAUCAACUCAGAAAGACAUCAACUGGAGGCUAAACCUGGAGAAACAGUAACAUUAUCCUGUAACUAUUCAUCUAGUAGCUCUUCCCCAUAUCUGUACUGGUAUCGUCAGUACUCCCACCAAAUGCAGUAUAUCCUCAGCCGGGGGGCAAAGAGCUAUUCAAGCUUCAAACGUGAGAAUCCAGAUUUGGAGCCUAAAAAAUUCCAGUCAGAGACCAGCGAUACAUCCGCCUCUUUAUCCAUCUCCAGCCUGACCGUGUCUGAUUCUGCCUUGUACUUGUGUGCUCUCGGUGAUGGGGCACAGUGGUGA